UUAGUAAUGUCCGUAAUGACUAAAAAUACUUUUUAAAGAAAUGAUCUUAACAGAUGUACAUUUCGCGGAAUAUUACAUUUCAUGUAAUUUCGUUUCAUUAAAAAAAACGAAAGCUGGGGAAAAUAUUAGUAUUUAUUAUUAUAUAAUGCGGUUAAUUUCUUUAUUUUCAACAGAUAAACAAUAUUUGUUCUCGGAAUUUACAGCGUUCAACUUUUAGAAAAUACAAAGUUCUGUCAACUGCAGGUUAUCUCAAAUAUCAAUUCUACCAUUUCUUACAGUUACAUUCUGGAAUAUGCACUUUCUUCGUAGUUAUUCAGUAAACAAUUAUUGUGAAGCUCAAUAUUUAUAUCUUGAUGUAAAUGAAAGCAUAUGUGUUUAAAGAAUAUUUUCAAAGCUCAACAUUUAUAGCUCACUGCUUCGGAUUUUCAAUGAAUACAUCCUUUUUUAACGACAGCUUUGUUCCUGGUCGUGGACAUGCUAGCAGUUAAAUGAGAUUCUGAUUUUACAAAUGCAAAGUGAUGUGAAAAGAAAGCUUGACAGAAAGAUUUUGGUAGAUUUUGACAGCAGUACUAUUCAAACUGAGAUAUAUAAAUUGUAUUUUGUUGUAACUAAAAUCUAAACAUUAAAAAA
This is a long non-coding RNA of Mytilus californianus (California mussel), 630 nucleotides long. RefSeq lists it as uncharacterized. Lineage: Eukaryota; Metazoa; Mollusca; Bivalvia; Mytilida; Mytilidae. The record is from RefSeq and is a predicted model, not a curated record. The transcript is spliced from 3 exons.